AUGCCUACAUCUGAUUGGAGCAGGCGGUAUGUUAGAAAUACAAAGAAAACACCAGGCUACAUCCUAAAGGCUUACCCUCCUCAAGGUUCCCACUGUACAGAUACCCUCCUCAAGGUUCCCACUGUACCCUCCUCAAGGUUCCCACUGUACAUAUACCCUCCUCAAGGUUCCCACUAUACCCUCCUCAAGGUUCCCACUGAACAGAUACCCUCCUCAAGGUUCCCACUGACCCACUGUACAAAACAACUACUAAAGAGUGGGCAGUGUAACCAUUCAGAUCACAUAGAAGAUUCCUGCCUAAAAAAUACCACAAUAUUAGAGAUGAUGUCAUGAAACAUUUUCCGGAUGAGAAGACCGACCCAGGCCCUCUUCAGCAAAUCUGACCCAGGCCCUCUUCAGCAAAUCUGACCCAGGCCCUCUUCAGCAAAUCUGACCCAGGCCCUCUUCAGCAAAUCUGACCCAGGCCCUCUUCAGCAAAUCUGACCCAGGCCCUCUUCAGCAAAUCUGACCCAGGCCCUCUUCAGUAAAUCUGACCCAGACCCUCUUCAGUAAAUCUGACCCAGACCCUCUUCAGUAAAUCUGACCCAGACCCUCUUCAGUAAAUCUGACCCAGACCCUCUUCAGUAAAUCUGACCCAGACCCUCUUCAGUAAAUCUGAAGAACAUGUCUAUCUACGUUCGACAAUCAUUAAAAAAAUAAAAAUUAACUUUCAAAUUAGACAUUUCACUGUCUAUGCUCAACCUUGGUAAAAGCCUGUGCAUUCCAAAGAAGCGUUUAUUAACAUCCCUUCAGAUGAGCCAUGACUAACGUGGUUACUAAAUAUGCUGAUUAAGUGCGUCGGCAUAGCUACUGUUUUUCGGUGUCCACAUCACUAAGAAUCUAUCAUGGUCCACAGCACAGACACACACCAACACAGUCCUGAAGUGGGCACAACAACGCCUCUUCCACACUCAGGAGGCUGAAAAGAUUUGGCAUGGGCACUCAGAUCCUCCAAAAAGUUCUACAGCUGCCCAACUUACAGAAACGUUUGACCUCUGUCACUGCCAACAAAGGGUAUAUAACAAAGUAUUGAGAUAAACUUUUGUUGUUAUUGACCAAGUACUUAUUUUCCACCAUAAAUUUGCUAAUAAAUUCAUAAAAAAAUCCUACAAUGUGAUUUUCUGGAUUUUUUUUCUUCUCAUUUUGUCUGUCAUAGUUGAAGUGUACCUACGAUGAAAAUUACAGGCCUCUCUCAUCUUUUUAAGUGGGAGAACAUGCACAAUUGGUGGCUGACUAAAUACUUUUUUGCCCCACUGUGUGUGUGUGUGUGUGUGUGUGUGUGUGUGUGUGUGUGUGUGUGUGUGUGUGUGUGUGUGUGAAAUAUAUAUGUAAUAAUGACAAUUACAACAAUACUGAAUGAACACUUUUAUUUAAAAUAAUACAUAAAUAAAAUCAAUUUAGUCUCAUAAAUAAUUAAACAUGUUUUUUUUGGUUUAAAUAACACAAAAACAGUGUUGGAGAAGUAAAAGUGCAAUAUGUGCCAUGUAAAAAAUCUAACGUUUAAGUUCUUUGCUCAGAACAUGAGAACAUAUAAUAGCUGGUGGUUCCUUUUAACAUGAGUCUUCAAUAUUCCCAGGUAAGAAGCUUUAGGUUGUAUUUAUUAUAGGAAUAUUUCUCCCUAUACCAUUUGUAUUUCAUAUACCUUUGACUAUUGGAUGUUCUUAUAGGCACUAUAGUAUUGCCAGCCUAAUCUCGGGAGUUGAAAGGCUUGAAUUCAUAAACAGCACUGUGCUUCAAGUAUUGCGAAGAGCUGCUGGCAAACGCAGGAAAGUGUUGUUUGAAUGAAUGUUUACGAGUCUGCUGCUGCCUACCACCACUGUCAGACUGCUAUAUCAAAUAUCAAAUCAUAGACUGAAUUAUAAUAUAAUAAACACACAGAAAUACGAGCCUUGGGUCAUUAAUAUGGUCAAAUCCGGAAACUAACAUCUCGAAGACAAAACAUUUAUUCUCUCAGUGAAAUAUGGAACCGUUCUGUAUUCUAACUAACGGAUGGCAUCCCUAAGUCAAAUAUUGCUGUUACAUUGCACAACCUUCAAUGUUAUGUCAUAAUUAUGUAAAAUUAUCCUCGUGGAGUGCAAUGUAAUCGGUGUCCAAAAAUGCCGAUUGUUAUGAAAACUUGAACCUCGGCCCUGCCGAUUAAUCAGUCGACCUCUAAUUACUUGAACUCUGUGGAGCAUUUAUUUGGGCUGCAAUUCCUGACAUGCAGUUAACUCUAAUGAACUUAUCCUCUGCGGCAGAGUUAACCCUGGGUCUUCCUUUCCUGUGGCGGUCCUCAUGAGAGCCAGUUUCAUCAUAGCGCUUGAUGGUUUUUGCGACUGCACUUAAAGAAACUUUCAAAGUUGUUGACAUUUUCUGCAUUGACUGACCAUGUCUUAAAGUAAUGAUGGACUGUCGUUUCUCUUUGCUUAUUUGAGCUGUUCUUGCCAUAAUAUGGACUUGGCUUUUUACCAAAUAGGGUUAUCUUCUGCAUACCACCCCUACCUUGUCACAACACAACUGAUUGGCUCAAACGCAUUAAGAAGGAAAGAAAUUCCGCAAAUUAACAAGGCACAUCUGUUAAUUGAAACGCAUUCCAGGUGACUACCUCAUGAAGCUGGUUGAGAGAAUGCCAAGAGCGUGCAAUGCUGUCUUCAAGGCAAAAGGUGGCUACUUAGAAGAAUCUCAAAUAGAAAAUAUAUUUAGAUUUGUUUAACACUUUUUUGGUUACUACAUGAUUCCAUGUGUCAUUUCAUAGUUUUGACUUCACUAUUAUUCUACAAUGUAGUAAAAAUUUAAUAAGAGUUAGGUGUCCAAACUCUGUAUACAGUACCAGUCCAAGGUUUGGACACGCCUACUCAUUCCAAGGUUUCAGAGGAGUAGCAGCUACACUUCGAUAAAUAAGAUCACCAUGAUCAAGAACAGAUCAAAUAAGGUUGACUGAAUAAUCUGCUUCCUACUCCAAGGAUUCAAUCAUUUUAGCUAGACAAGGAAGCCUUGAAAUGGGCCGAUAAUUAUAAAUAUCACUACUAUCCCAGCCCUUACGGGAGUGGCAACACAAGAGCUGAUGUCUACUAUCUGCAAAAACCCUCUGAAUUGAGGUCACACUGAAACCAUUGUCAGACAACAUAAUAGCAACACUGUUUCAUAGGCACAUGAUACAUUUCUGAUCCACUACCCUAAAAACAAGCAAGUUUAUCAACAACAAAAAACAGCCUGUGUGUUAGAGAGAGAAUGACCUUUCGUACCUCUUGCUCUCGGGCAUAGUCCUCUGGGUCGUAUUCCUCCUCCUCAUGUUGAGUUUGCAGAGCAGCACUAUCAAAGUCGAUGGACAUGAUGAUCAGUACUAACACUGAGAGAAGACCUGAGAAAGCACAAGAGAGCGCAGAUGUUCAUGACGUGGCUGUGUAUUUGAUUGACAGUGAGGGCGGAGGGCUCACACAAACCACACAUCUCGUAUCAGAAACAUUGUCAUUAUGCCUUUAGUACGACUCAAAACAACACCGAGCUAGCUAACGUUAGUCAAUUAGUUAGCUGUAACGUUAGCUAGAAGAAGAAACUGUUCGGUUGAAGAGUGAUCAAAACAGUCAACUCACUGAUCACCUUACCUUGUGAUUUGAAGUACAAGUGGAUAUCCGAUGAUAAAUGUUGUCAGCGAAGACCCCAAAAAAUAAAUCUAAUGUAAAACGUUACAAAACAGCAGAUGCACAUGAUGCUGGGCAAUGAAUGAUCGGACUGGUUAGCUAACAUUAGCUAGCUAACAUAGCAACCAUUUACCAGAAAACAAACAAAGCAUCGAACGACUGGCAUGACGGGCACAGCUACCUAAUAACGUACUAGUCUGACAAGAGUACAGUUUCGUUAACAGUUGCUAAUCAGAACAUAACGUCUGCGUAUAUAUCAUAAACAACUAAAGUUAGGUUUUCAAUCUGUCUGGCUAAUAAUAGUAAUGAACUUCCUGUGUUACGACUCGCCGCUCCGUUGAAAGCUCGCGCGCCUAAACAGCGGCAUAAACUCUCCGUCGCUGAUUGGUGAAUUCAACACGCGUCAUCAAACGACCCCCCCCCCCCCCCACCACCCACCCACCAAUGGCCAUGCUGCAACACAGAUGGGUUGUUGUAGUUGUUGCCGACAACCAAAUCACCAACCUGGAAGUGAAUGGAAAUAAUGCUUUGGGAUGAUUUGUAGAGAUGGUUGCUGAUGUAUGAUAUUUACAGAAUAUGAGUUACCUCGACGUGAUACGCAAAAAAAAUAUGUUAAAAAAUAUUUAAGAAGUGACACCAUAGGAAGGUACAAUUUGUUGUUUAUUAUUCAUUAAUAAAACAGAAAGGCUCAAAUUGUUCAACAACAGUGUCAAAACAACAUACCAUAUGAAACAUGGACCUACAUUGAUGAAAUACUGUAUAGAGAGCACUGGCUAUUUUACAGAAAAGGGCAUGCUGAUUUUGACAUGCUCCACAAUAAUAUUAUACAUAAUUUGGUGUUUUCACAUUUCCGUGGAAGGCGGUAAUAUAGGGGGAGAACAGACAUGUCCUUUCCCUAUAAGAAAUGUACAUAAGUGGGAUUUUACAAUCCUCUAUCUGUACAAUGGCCAUCGUUUUCUAAUAUAAGUCGGUUGGUUUUAGGCCACACGGUCCGAGUUCCCAGACACAGAUUACGCAGAGUCCAACACCUAAACCCUAAAAAGCAUUCUCAUUGAGCAUGCUUCUAAAUCCAGGACUAGGAUUUAUCUGUGCCCAGGAAACUGGCCCAAGGCCAUGAAACACAAGCUGGCACCUCUGAUCUCCAUCUUAAAUGAUCAGUCACAUAAUAAGUGACAGUACAUUUGCCAUUGGAAGCUUUGAACAUCAUCAAUCCUACAGAUGACAAUAAUGAAUGUAGCCUACUGCUACUGUAACCCGAGAUGAAUUGGGUUAACGAGUUCCUUCAAGUUGAAAUACCCCCACCAUCGAAUUGUUAACUUUUCAAU
Molecule: long non-coding RNA, 4984 nt
Filed under: Oncorhynchus mykiss (rainbow trout)
Lineage: Eukaryota; Metazoa; Chordata; Actinopteri; Salmoniformes; Salmonidae
Description: lncRNA (ENSOMYG00000065887.1)
Source: RNAcentral